Molecule: long non-coding RNA, 2103 nt
Organism: Grus americana (Whooping crane)
Lineage: Eukaryota; Metazoa; Chordata; Aves; Gruiformes; Gruidae
Exons: 3
Source: RefSeq, a predicted model, not a curated record
GAGGUUGCUAGUACCGCACAACAUCUCAGAGGUGUGGACCCACUUGUGUGGGCUGUUCUACUUCAUCUUCCUGCGGUAGUUCAGUCUCUUCCCUUCAGGCUGCUCUUCACCUCUGAAUCUGAAUUGAAAUAGAUGUCACAGGCAUUCCUGACCACAGCAAACCUCAGAAAAUAGCCGCCAAUACCCUUGGCCUUGUACAGCUGACCCUAUUUGAACUAUGAUUACCUCUCCAAAAUUCACCCAGAUUGUAUUGACAACCAGCAUAAAGUAUGAGCCAGUCUGCCCGAAAGCCAUGAAGAUGGGCUUCAUGUGCCGUGUUACUCAAGUCUGCCUUGCAGUGAUUCAGACUGCUACAGAGGACUGCAGAGGGAACGCAAGGUGCUUGCAGGAUCUGCUGGGUGAAUGGUGACCCCCAAGCAAACACACUGUUUAUUCAGAAAUAUUUCAGGCUGUUUUCAGGAGCCGGGAGAAUACUGAUUUCUGAUCGUGCUUACCUCUUAAAGAGGAGCACGCAAUUCUCAGCGGUAACUUUCCAUUUCAAUGGCUACUGAAAGAAAUCUGUUUUGGGAAUUGCCUUUCCUUAUUUGUGUAAAAAUCCUUUUAUGCCAUUAAGACGCUUUGCAAAGAAAAACAAGAUCUAGGGGCUUGUCGAGGCACAGUUUUCACUACCCAGUAGAGUUAGUCUCAUUAAAAUGGACCUCAUCUCCUCGCUGCUCCUGCACAUACUGUCAGUUUAUCACAGAUCAUCUGACAUGUCUAAAAUGGAAAGGAUGACGUAAAGCAGGAAAAAGAGCUCAAGACUGAAAAAAACCCCCAAACAAAAAUUACAAAGACUUUGGAGAAACAGCUCGCAGGAUAAGAUGCCUGUAUACAAACUUGUCAAGUCUUCAGGGCGCCUAUGUGCCAGCCACAGGGAACAAUAAGCGUUCGGGGCUGCGCACCGCUCUCUGCCCUCGCCCAGCUCUGCACGGAGCAGUGUGCACUCCUGGAGCUCAGCGCACAGGAGUAACCUUCUUAGGAAAACCUUUUCCAAAAAAACCCUGCAGGGACACCUCCCUGUCUCUCCCCCCAGCCACAGCCCAGCCCAAAGAGUGCAAUACAGCCAAGAAGGGCUGCGACUGGCGGGGGCUGUCUGCCCGUCCUCCAGCCCAGGCCCCGUGCCAACAUAAGGCAGGCCACUUUGGGGCUUUCAGGCACUUCUCGAAGGCGGCGGACCUGAAUGUUGGUGUAUCCUUGAGUUUUGGGCUGGGAGCUAGGAAACAGCAGAAGCGCCUGGAUGAAAGAAGGCAAAAAAGCCCUCUGAGACCUCCUCCAGGUCAAUGAGGAGUGCAAAUCCCGUGCUCCGCCUGACAAAAGGCAACAACCGGAAAAUUACCAGGAGACAGAGGGGACAUUGAGAAACCCCCAGGACAUGGAGCAGUGCAGCUGCGGGAAGCACGGGGGGCGAGGGCAGUCGGGGGGAACCACUGUGCCUGCUGGGGAAAUAAAAUCCCCUUUGCCCCUUGCGUGGGCUGGGGUGCGACAGCUCCCGGCAAAGAGCUGCUGCUGCCUUUUCUCCCGAAGCUGGAGGGCAAAGCCUCAGCAGGAGAUGCUGCAGCGCUCAAGUGGGCCCGGCGAGGGGAGUCCUCGGCUGAUGGAUGAGGAUGGCUGCGUGCUGCAGGGAGCUGCUGGCCUCUGAGGUGGCCUCGCUGAGGUCCAUUCCCUCCCUUCCUGAGGAUGGAAAUGCCCCCAGAGGGAGCUUGCUGUGGGAGACGUAAAUUCUCCUGUUGGUUUCUGCGUGACGGCAGUAAAUUCUUUUAUUGCUCCUUAAGCUGAAUUUUCCACGGUCAGUUUUCCUAGGAGACUAUUUUUGCACGCAUUUCCUCGUCGCCUGGACAAGACCAAGACAAAUUUGAAGCCAGACCAUUGCAAUAACUCAGCUUCACACAACAAGCCCGGUUCAGUAGCAGUGGGGCAAACAAACAGUCCGGGGAUUGAUGGGAAGAGAGAUUUAAAUGUUGAAAUAGAGUGUCUUACACUGGCUGGGGAUUCAGUGGGUUUUCAACAUAAACUGGCAGAGACUGGAGAGCAGGCAGGGGAAAUGGUGACGAUAGCAGGAAAAAA